UUGUCCGCGCGAGUUCGAACCUCGCAUCCUUCAGUAAUAUUUUUUUAAUAUACAUUUUCUCUGCCAUCAUGGCUUAAAAAAUGC
RNAcentral lists this transfer RNA (84 nucleotides) under Saccharomyces cerevisiae R103. Its description in RNAcentral is "tRNA-Leu". Lineage: Eukaryota; Fungi; Ascomycota; Saccharomycetes; Saccharomycetales; Saccharomycetaceae. The record is from RNAcentral.